RNAcentral lists this ribosomal RNA (286 nucleotides) under uncultured bacterium. RNAcentral's name for it is "partial 16S ribosomal RNA". It matches the Rfam family "Bacterial small subunit ribosomal RNA", at positions 90 to 376 of the family's 1533-position model. The record is from RNAcentral.
CACUAGUGGCGCACGGGUGCGUAACGCGUAACCAACCUGCCCUUGACUGGGGGAUAGCCCGCCGAAAGGNGNAUUAAUACCGCAUAAACUCACAGUGUGGCAUCACACAAUGAGUAAAGAUUUAUUGGUCAAGGAUGGGGUUGCGUGACAUUAGCUAGUUGGCGGGGUAACGGCCCACCAAGGCGACGAUGUCUAGGGGAGCUGAGAGGCUGAUCCCCCACACUGGCACUGAGAUACGGGCCAGACUCCUACGGGAGGCAGCAGUAGGGAAUAUUGGGCAAUGGGC